CUCCACAGCAGUUUUAAAGGCUUUCUUUUGACUUCCCUGCCAUUCAAGCAGGGGUUAAACUCGAGUAAAAUAAUUGCUGUAAUGAGCAAAGGCAAUCUGCCACAGACAGAGGCCGGCUCCAGCGUGGCUGUAGCUCCAGGCAAGGCGGAACUUUUAUCAUUCCUAAAAUGUCAACGGGGGACUGGGACGGGCAACACUCCUCAGUGCGCCGUGAUUUCCUCCUCCUCAGUUCUGAAAGGUUUCUGUCCUGGAAAGUGUUCCCAAAGAGUUUCCCAUUUAUUCAGGCACUCUCAAAGACACGUUUCUCCUUCGGCUUCGAAGUUUUUGCAAUAUUACAGCUUUCAGUCUGAGUUUAAGGUAAAGUGUUUUUUUCUUUCGAUUUGAUUUAUACCCGUUUUUUAAAUUUCAUCUAUUUUUCUCAGAUAAUCUCCAGUCCGUCCAUGAGGGAUGAAUUUAUACAUAAUCCCCGACAAUAGGUUCAAAUCACACGGAUGAACGCUCUAUGUGAAAAAGAAGAGAAACUUGACACAAAAGAGCCUAAGGGGAUCGGCCGAUUCUUUGAAACUCUUUCAUUCUUUUGUCUCCAGCACUCUAUCUUGCCAGGAGCCAAACAGAAAACAAAAGUCACUUGUUUAGAUCAUCCAAAAGAUCACAGGAGGCUGUUUGACUCCGUAGUAAAACCUCUUGAUCCUCACGAAAGAAAAAUGGGUUAUUAGAUGCCGUCAAAGCAGCCUGGAUAAAUGAUUAAGGAAUGGGCCCUUUACUCUGCAUUACUUUUUCAUGUGGGGUAGGCCUGCGUUAUGUGGCUCUUUGGGCUGAAUUAUUAAAUGAAGUAUCUCAGAAAAAAAAAUUCAUAUCACACAAUUCGUGUUAGUCCCGAUCAAUUACGACGAUCAGUGUGAAUUUGUAGUUUUAGGAAACAGCGAACUGAAAAAACGCCGACUGGCCUUUCGUUGAAGCGUAUUAAGCCAUGAAUAUGGGUUAAACUGGUUGUUCUCUUUAUUUUCAAAACGAUACAAUUCAUUAUUUUACCCGUAUGCUACUUGAUCAUUAAAGAAGCUUAGAGAAUAAAACCAAGUAGAGAUUAUGAAAGCACUUACAUUUGAGUUAAAGAAAGUUCGGAAAUUUGUUACUGUAAUUUGAUGUUGUUUUCUAAAUAAAUACAAUUAUG
Molecule: long non-coding RNA, 1171 nt
Organism: Astatotilapia calliptera (eastern happy)
Lineage: Eukaryota; Metazoa; Chordata; Actinopteri; Cichliformes; Cichlidae
Source: Ensembl